RNAcentral lists this unclassified non-coding RNA (345 nucleotides) under soil metagenome. RNAcentral describes it as "partial contains 5.8S ribosomal RNA, internal transcribed spacer 2, and large subunit ribosomal RNA". The stretch from base 1 to 121 matches the Rfam family "5.8S ribosomal RNA", at positions 35 to 154 of the family's 154-position model. The record is from RNAcentral.
GAUGAAGAACGUAGCGAAAUGCGAUAAGUAAUGCGAAUUGCAGAAUUUCCGUGAGUCAUCGAAUCUUUGAACGCACAUUGCGCCCACUGGUAUUCCGGUGGGCAUGCCUGUUCGAGCGUCAUUAUCCUCCCUCAAACCUCGGGUUUGGUGUUGGACCCAAGUUGUGUGAACAACUGGUCUUAAAGACAAUGACGGCGUCCGUGGGACCCUCGGUGCAACGAGCUUUUAGGAGCACGCGUCGAGUUUCAAGGACCUUCCGGGCCGGUCUCCUUUACCAUUUUACAAGGUUGACCUCGGAUCAGGUAGGAAUACCCGCUGAAUUUAAGCAUAUCAAUAAGCGGAGGA